GCUUCUAUCGUCUAGUUGGUUAGGACGUAGGUCUCAUAUUAUCCAGAUAUGAGCUCUAAUGCGAGUACAUCCUGCAACCGGAGUUCGAAUCUCCGUGGAGGCA
Molecule: non-coding RNA, 103 nt
Organism: Apiotrichum porosum
Lineage: Eukaryota; Fungi; Basidiomycota; Tremellomycetes; Trichosporonales; Trichosporonaceae
Source: the annotation of a RefSeq genome assembly